GAUGAACGCUAGCGGCAGGCCUAAUACAUGCAAGUCGAACGGUAACAUGAGUAGCAAUACUUGAUGACGAGUGGCGCACGGGUGCGUAACGCGUAUGCAAUCUACCUUUAACUGGUGAAUAGCCCGAAGAAAUUCGGAUUAAUACACCAUAGUAUAAUUGAGUGGCAUCACUUAAUUAUUAAAACUCCGGUGGUUAAAGAUGAGCAUGCGUGACAUAGCUAGUUGGUGAGGUAAUGGCUCACCAAGGCUACGAUGUCUAGGGGAUCUGAGA
This 271-nucleotide ribosomal RNA is filed under the name uncultured bacterium. RNAcentral describes it as "partial 16S ribosomal RNA". It matches the Rfam family "Bacterial small subunit ribosomal RNA", at positions 28 to 297 of the family's 1533-position model. The record is from RNAcentral.